CGGGGGGAGCAAGCGUUGUUCGGAUUUACUGGGCGUAAAGGGCGCGUAGGCGGCCACCGCAAGUCGACUGUGAAAUCUCUGGGCUUAACCCAGAACGGUCAGCCGAUACUGCGGGGCUAGAGUGCAGAAGGGGCAACUGGAAUUCUCGGUGUAGCGGUGAAAUGCGUAGAUAUCGAGAGGAACACCUGCGGCGAAGGCGGGUUGCUGGGCUGACACUGACGCUGAGGCGCGAAAGCUAGGGGAGCGAACGGGAUUAGAUACCCCGGUAGUCCUAGCCUUGAACGAUGAAUGCUUGGUGUCUGGGGUUUUAUAGUCCCCGGGUGCCGUCGCUAACGCUUUAAGCAUUCCGCCUGGGGAGUACGGUCGCAAGACUG
Molecule: ribosomal RNA, 374 nt
Filed under: uncultured organism
Description: bacterial SSU rRNA
Rfam family: Bacterial small subunit ribosomal RNA
Source: RNAcentral